CCUACGGGAGGCAGCAGUGAGGAAUAUUGGUCAAUGGACGAGAGUCUGAACCAGCCAAGUAGCGUGAAGGAUGACUGCCCUAUGGGUUGUAAACUUCUUUUAUCUGGGAAUAAAAUGUUCCACGUGUGGGAUUUUGUAUGUACCAUAUGAAUAAGGAUCGGCUAACUCCGUGCCAGCAGCCGCGGGAAUACGGAGGAUCCGAGCGUUAUCCGGAUUUAUUGGGUUUAAAGGGAGCGUAGGUGGAUUGUUAAGUCAGUUGUGAAAGUUUGCGGCUCAACCGUAAAAUUGCAGUUGAAACUGGCAGUCUUGAGUACAGUAGAGGUGGGCGGAAUUCGUGGUGUAGCGGUGAAAUGCUUAGAUAUCACGAAGAACUCCGAUUGCGAAGGCAGUUCACUGGACUGCAACUGACACUGAGGCUCGAAAGUGUGGGUAUCAAACAGGAUUAGAUACCCUUGUAGUC
RNAcentral lists this ribosomal RNA (460 nucleotides) under uncultured bacterium. Its description in RNAcentral is "partial 16S ribosomal RNA". It matches the Rfam family "Bacterial small subunit ribosomal RNA", at positions 338 to 795 of the family's 1533-position model. The record is from RNAcentral.